CCUACGGGGGGCUGCAGUGAGGAAUAUUGGUCAAUGGACGAGAGUCUGAACCAGCCAAGUAGCGUGAAGGAUGACUGCCCUAUGGGUUGUAAACUUCUUUUAUAUGGGAAUAAAAUGUUCCACGUGUGGGAUUUUGUAUGUACCAUAUGAAUAAGGAUCGGCUAACUCCGUGCCAGCAGCCGCGGUAAUACGGAGGAUCCGAGCGUUAUCCGGAUUUAUUGGGUUUAAAGGGAGCGUAGGUGGAUUGUUAAGUCAGUUGUGAAAGUUUGCGGCUCAACCGUAAAAUUGCAGUUGAAACUGGCAGUCUUGAGUACAGUAGAGGUGGGCGGAAUUCGGGGUGUAGCGGUGAAAUGCUUAGAUAUCACGAAGAACUCCGAUGGCGAAGGCAGUUCACUGGACUGCAACUGACACUGAGGCUCGAAAGUGUGGGUAUCAAACAGGAUUAGAUACCCGUGUAGU
RNAcentral lists this ribosomal RNA (459 nucleotides) under uncultured bacterium. RNAcentral's name for it is "partial 16S ribosomal RNA". It matches the Rfam family "Bacterial small subunit ribosomal RNA", at positions 338 to 794 of the family's 1533-position model. The record is from RNAcentral.